GUCAUCCGUCAGACAGGCAGAAGUUGAAGCAUUGUUAACUAGUCCAGAAAACAGUUUGCGCUAUUUCACAAUACAAUGGCAAUGCAUUUUAUACCACACCAGCACGUGAUUGGCAUUGCGGUAAUCGUUGGCAUGAGCCCCUUUGCAUAGAAUCCCGUUUCAUUAGACUCCAUUUCUUCUGCUGAUGUUGUUUCCCUCGUCAGUUUGGAACAUGGCGGUGAGUGCUGUAAUAAGGACAGACCGUGUUUAUAUGAAUGUGCUUUCUGUGAGCCCGUGUGGAAUCUAGAUAUUAUCUCUUCACAAUAACAGCACUUAUAACUAACUGGAGCAGCUGGAGAAGCUAUAACAAAGUAGAACUUUGACAAACUGGCAAAGUACCAACAUUCCAAUUAUGUUCCUCAAAGGGACACUCUGGUCACCAUAACAACUUCAUCUAAAUUAAAUUGUUAUGGUGCCAGGAGGCCCCUGGGCUCUCUUCCCUUAAGGAGUUAAACUGUUCUCAAAUAUCCUCCAGUGCCAAUCUCUAUGUCCCACUGCCGAUCCGCUGGACUGCCAGACAGCUUUUGGUAUGUACCAUUUUUAUGAAUGAGGUGCUGACCGCUCUAGCCAAUCAGCGGUGCCCCUGCCCACUGGCACUCCGUUUCAGCAGCUGGAUGCCACAUGGGGGAUCUGGAGUCAACCUUUGAGGGUAAACCAUUCGAGAAUGCCUUUAAGGUAAGAGCACCCAGGGGCUCCUGGCACCAUAACAACUCAAUUUAGAUGACAUUGUUA
This is a non-coding RNA of Pelobates cultripes (western spadefoot toad), 771 nucleotides long. NCBI's taxonomy places the organism in Eukaryota, Metazoa, Chordata, Amphibia, Anura, Pelobatidae. The record is from the annotation of a GenBank genome assembly.